RNAcentral lists this ribosomal RNA (946 nucleotides) under Candida tropicalis. RNAcentral's name for it is "eukaryotic LSU rRNA". The stretch from base 148 to 301 matches the Rfam family "5.8S ribosomal RNA". Lineage: Eukaryota; Fungi; Ascomycota; Pichiomycetes; Serinales; Debaryomycetaceae. The record is from RNAcentral.
GGGGGUUGGGGUAUUGGCUUAUUGCACCACAUGUGUUUUUUAUUGAACAAAUUUCUUUGGUGGCGGGAGCAAUCCUACCGCCAGAGGUUAUAACUAAACCAAACUUUUUAUUUACAGUCAAACUUGAUUUAUUAUUACAAUAGUCAAAACUUUCAACAACGGAUCUCUUGGUUCUCGCAUCGAUGAAGAACGCAGCGAAAUGCGAUACGUAAUAUGAAUUGCAGAUAUUCGUGAAUCAUCGAAUCUUUGAACGCACAUUGCGCCCUUUGGUAUUCCAAAGGGCAUGCCUGUUUGAGCGUCAUUUCUCCCUCAAACCCCCGGGUUUGGUGUUGAGCAAUACGCUAGGUUUGUUUGAAAGAAUUUAACGUGGAAACUUAUUUUAAGCGACUUAGGUUUAUCCAAAAACGCUUAUUUUGCUAGUGGCCACCACAAUUUAUUUCAUAACUUUGACCUCAAAUCAGGUAGGACUACCCGCUGAACUUAAGCAUAUCAAUAAGCGGAGGAAAGGAUCAUUACUGAUUUGCUUAAUUGCACCACAUGUGUUUUUUAUUGAACAAAUUUCUUUGGUGGCGGGAGCAAUCCUACCGCCAGAGGUUAUAACUAAACCAAACUUUUUAUUUACAGUCAAACUUGAUUUAUUAUUACAUAGUCAAAACUUUCACAACGGAUCUCUGGGUCCCGCAUCGAUGAAGACGCACGCAAUGCGAUUCCUAAAAUGAAUUGCAGAUUUUCGUGAAACACGAAUCUUUGAACCACCUUGCGCCUCUGAUUAUUCACAGAGCGUCUUGCUGUCAUAUCCCUCCAAUCCCCGGUUGGUGUUGGGCAUACCUUGUUGUUUGAAUUUAACGGGAAACUAUUUUAUGCGACUAGCUUUAUCCAGAUCCUAGUUGGCUGUGCCCAUACUGCUAGCUUGACCCAUCGGUGAUCCAUCAACUGCACGUGGCGG